Long non-coding RNA from Salvelinus namaycush (lake trout), 534 nucleotides. RefSeq lists it as uncharacterized. NCBI's taxonomy places the organism in Eukaryota, Metazoa, Chordata, Actinopteri, Salmoniformes, Salmonidae. The transcript is spliced from 5 exons. The record is from RefSeq and is a predicted model, not a curated record.
UCUGGUUAUGAAAUGGGUACAUAGUUCAAUAGUAAUAUCCUCUAAAACGCUCUGGUGGCAAACAAACUUUACUGCCCUGUUUCCAAUUGUCCACAUGGCUGGGAGAACCUGUUCAACAGCAUAGUGGUCUAGACUCUGCAGACAGCCACUAUGACAGACUGUACCCGGGGCACAUCCCUACCAACGUCAUCCAGAAAGCACUGCUGGCUGUGGGCCCUGGGGUGGCAGCCCUGCAGGACCCCUACAGACAUGAGAGCGCCCACGGAUCAGGCUAUCCACAUUGGAUCUGUCCAAGAUGGCCUUCCUUCCAGAUGGAUCCUUAGGGAAAGAGUACUUGCGCUUCCUUGAGGACAAUAGGGUGACCCCUGACUCAAGGGCAGAUGUGAAGUUUGUGGAUAAUGAAGAGUUGGCGUAUGUUAUACAGAGAUACAGAGAGGUCCACGAUUUACUGCACAGCUUACUAGGCUUGCCCACUAACAUGCUAGGCUUCCAUGACUGAUGUUGGUGGGAUUUGGAGGAUGAUGGAGGCAACAG